GGUUCCAUAGAGUAGUAGUUAGCACGUCAGCUUUACAUGCAGGAGGUCCUGGGUUUGAGCCCCAGUGGAACCA
This is a non-coding RNA of Pteropus alecto (black flying fox), 73 nucleotides long. The record is from Rfam. Lineage: Eukaryota; Metazoa; Chordata; Mammalia; Chiroptera; Pteropodidae.